This 168-nucleotide unclassified non-coding RNA is filed under the name soil metagenome. RNAcentral describes it as "partial internal transcribed spacer 1". The record is from RNAcentral.
ACGAUGUUUUUAAUUGUUAAGGUUGGAGUUGAGCUGGUAUUAAUCUAAUUAAUAUGUGCAUUACUCUAAUCGACAACAAGUCCACUCAUUACCUUAACACCUGUGAACUUAUUCAUAUACAAACAUUAUUAUUUGUUAUUGGAACGUUUGAUUAUUAAAAAGUUAAUA